CCCCCCCCUGUUUUUUCGCCUAUAAAAACAGGGGAGGAAGAGGAGAAAAAAAGAGAACAGAAGGGAGAAGAGGAAGGGAGAGAAGGGAGAAGACCGAGAGAAGAGGAGAAAGAAGAGAAGAAAAGAAGAAAAAACAGAGGAGAGAGAGAGAAGGAACACAGCCGGCCACCGUGCCUCCGCCACCAUCGCCUCCGCUGCCACCAGCAGCACCGCCUCGACGCCACCGCAGGUAACCCCGUUGCCCCGUCUCCUUCUCCUUUUGCUGCUGCCUUCUCUCUUUUAUUUUCAUGCAG
This 293-nucleotide long non-coding RNA is filed under the name Populus tremula. Its description in RNAcentral is "long non-coding RNA (PTRE_LNC003288)". The record is from RNAcentral. Lineage: Eukaryota; Viridiplantae; Streptophyta; Magnoliopsida; Malpighiales; Salicaceae.